AUAAUGCAAGUUGGAGAUGCACCCUAAAGGUGNCGGGGCUUCUCCCGUUU
RNAcentral lists this transfer RNA (50 nucleotides) under Cyrtopodion sp. TG-2012. RNAcentral describes it as "partial tRNA-Cys". Lineage: Eukaryota; Metazoa; Chordata; Lepidosauria; Squamata; Gekkonidae. The record is from RNAcentral.